This 253-nucleotide ribosomal RNA is filed under the name uncultured bacterium. RNAcentral describes it as "partial 16S ribosomal RNA". It matches the Rfam family "Bacterial small subunit ribosomal RNA", at positions 524 to 776 of the family's 1533-position model. The record is from RNAcentral.
UACGUAGGUGGCAAGCGUUGUCCGGAUUUAUUGGGCUUAAAGGGCGCGUAGGCGGCCCUGUAAGUCUGUGGUGAAAUACGGCAGCUCAACUGUCGAGGUGCCAUUGAUACUGCGGGGCUUGAGUGUUGAUGAGGUAGGCGGAAUUGACGGUGUAGCGGUGAAAUGCUUAGAUAUCGUCAAGAACACCGAUAGCGAAGGCAGCUUACCAGGCAAUAACUGACGCUGAGGCACGAAAGUGCGGGGAGCAAACAGG